UGGGCUGAGGGGCCUCCGAGUGCCUGGGGACACGCGGGGACCUCGGGGACACACACAGAGACCUCGGGGACACUCCCUGCCACAGCCCCAGGUUCUUCCCCAGGAUUUGGGUGCCGGGUGAAGCAGCCUGCAGGGCUGGGCCCCGCUCCAGGGAACAGCACUGCAGCUGAGAGCCCGGCCGAGCGGGCAGAGCAGUGCUGGGAAUAUCAAUCAGGGAGCCUUGGAGCGGGCGGCUUCACACACAGCCAGGGCUUUCAUCCCCCAGGAUCCACAGCUCGGCCGGCAGAGCCAGCCAGGGGCUCAGCCCUGCGCUGGGAGGGCUCAGCAUCCCUCUGUACUGGGGCCAGCACGGUCAGGAGAGACUGGGGAAAGCCAGGGAGAAGGGAGAGAUCAGGAGAGAGGGUGGAGAGGAGCAGACACACUUGUGAAAUAAGUGGGAAGAUUUGUGGGGGGAAAAGGAGGAGUUCCCCAGAUCCAGGCCAGGAAAGGCCAAUGCUGGCUCCAAGGGCAUCAGGCAGGGGAGAGGCUGAGGCUGGGAGAAGGGAGAGGAAGAGGAGGGCAGGGAGGAAUGGCAAGAUUGGAGCUGGGCAGUGCUGGAAGUGGACAGCCCCAGGCAUGGAGCACAGGCUAGGUGAGCCUUCAAGGGAGAAAGGACGAGGUCCCCAGAGCUGGUGGGGCUCAGGACUGGCAGGCAGGAGAGACCCAGUGACCUCCUCGAUGGUUUAGGGACAGUAUCCAUUAUCUCCUUGCAGACGCUGCCUACAAAGCUGUCACCUGGCCAAGGCUGCCCACCCUGCUGUCACCUGCUGUCACUGUGUCCGUCCCACUGCCACCCUCCCCACAACACAGCCUGUGCACAGCCCUGCACCCCUCUCCCUGAGGCUGUGCACCCCCUGUGCCACCUCCUGCCACAGUCCAGGCUGCACAGUCCCCACUGCCUCCUCCUUGGGGAUGGGAGCUGUACCCUGCCCCGUGCCACCUUCCCCCUGGGGGAGAUUCCAG
This 1002-nucleotide long non-coding RNA is filed under the name Cyanistes caeruleus (blue tit). RNAcentral describes it as "lncRNA (ENSCCEG00000013605.1)". Lineage: Eukaryota; Metazoa; Chordata; Aves; Passeriformes; Paridae. The record is from RNAcentral.